CGGCCCCUUUUUUUAAUAAAUCUACGAUGGCUGGCUGCAAUAUGCCUCACUGUAAGUAUUGUGUGUGUGUGUGUGUGUGUGUGUGUGUGUGUGUGUGUGAGAGAGAGAGAGAGAGAGAGAGAGAGAGAGACAGAGAGAGAGACAGAGAGAGAGACAGAGAGAGAGAGAAGCUGACUUGAAUAUUACUUAGUCUGGUAGCACAUGGCAAGGUUGUGAUACUGUAGGACAUCAGUGAAGUGCUACUUAGUAAAUCUUAACCUAUCUCUUUUUUCUACAGGUUGGUACUAAGAAGUGCCUUUCCUGACGUCUCUGCUGCUUGGACCCGCUUCUAGAGCAGUCUCUGCUUUUGCCUUGCUUGCUGCCAGCUAGACUGUGACGACAGCACAUCCACCCUCCACUUCUAGCCCAGACACCCCCAUUUCUACUUAUAAUCAAGACAAAAGCUCUAAGUAUCUGGCAUUGCCCUAGGCUGCUUUAGUUUUAAAGGAAAAGUUUGCUGAAAAAGUCAGAUCUCUUCUGCCAGGAAAUCAAGGAGGAAAAAAAAAAUCAGUUUCUCGAUUUGCUCUAAACUGCUGCAUCUGUCUAUGCCAAACUAAUCAAUACCGAUUGCACCACCAAACUCCAUUGCAAAUUCAGCUGUGAGGAGAUUCCCUUUCAGACAACUUUGCUGAAAGCAGCUUGGAAAUUCGGUGUCAAAGGGUCUGCCACGUUUUCAUGCUUGCAUUUUGGGCUCCAAAUUGGCACUGGGAAGGGGUUACUGAGAGCACAAGGCUGAUCCGAGGCCCUACUUUUAAACGUUCAUCUACUUACGAUUCUAGUAUUUCUCUGUAAACCAAAACCUCUUGAAUUAACAGUUUCAUGCUGUGAAUUUCUAGUGGGAGAUCUUUUCCUUGAUAUUGACAACACAGUUUUCCAUGUACUUUUAAAGCAGGGAGUGGGGAAAAAAGUAUUUUGGAGGGGACAUUUUCAUCAGCCUUUUACAGUCUUAUCAGUUCAGCUUUUU
This 1003-nucleotide long non-coding RNA is filed under the name Lynx pardinus (Iberian lynx). The record is from RNAcentral. Lineage: Eukaryota; Metazoa; Chordata; Mammalia; Carnivora; Felidae.